CGUAGGGUCCGAGCGUUGUCCGGAAUUAUUGGGCGUAAAGAGCUCGUAGGCGGUUUGUCGCGUCUGCUGUGAAAUCCCGAGGCUCAACCCCGGGCCUGCAGUGGGUACGGGCAGACUAGAGUGCGGUAGGGGAGACUGGAAUUCCUGGUGUAGCGGUGAAAUGCGCAGAUAUCAGGAGGAACACCGGUGGCGAAGGCGGGUCUCUGGGCCGUAACUGACGCUGAGGAGCGAAAGCAUGGGGAGCGAACAGG
Molecule: ribosomal RNA, 251 nt
Filed under: uncultured bacterium
Lineage: Bacteria
Description: partial 16S ribosomal RNA
Rfam family: Bacterial small subunit ribosomal RNA
Source: RNAcentral